This 456-nucleotide ribosomal RNA is filed under the name uncultured bacterium. RNAcentral's name for it is "bacterial SSU rRNA". It matches the Rfam family "Bacterial small subunit ribosomal RNA", at positions 340 to 786 of the family's 1533-position model. The record is from RNAcentral.
UACGGAAGGCAGCAGUGGGGAAUAUUGCACAAUGGGCGCAAGCCUGAUGCAGCCAUGCCGCGUGUAUGAAGAAGGCCUUCGGGUUGUAAAGUACUUUCAGCGGGGAGGAAGGCGAUGCGGUUAAUAACCGCGUCGAUUGACGUUACCCGCAGAAGAAGCACCGGCUAACUCCGUGCCAGCAGCCGCGGUAAUACGGAGGGUGCAAGCGUUAAUCGGAAUUACUGGGCGUAAAGCGCACGCAGGCGGUCUGUUAAGUCAGAUGUGAAAUCCCCGGGCUUAACCUGGGAACUGCAUUUUGAAACUGGCAGGCUUGAGUCUUGUAGAGGGGGUAGAAUUCCAGGUGUAGCGGUGAAAUGCGUAGAGAUCUGGAGGAAUACCGGUGGCGAAGGCGGCCCCUGGGACAAAGCUGACGCUCAGGGUGCGAAAGCGUGGGGAGCAAACGAGGAUUAGGAUACC